GUUUUCAACAAAGAUGGCGGCGGCUCCGGAAGUGGAGCGAAGAAAAAGAGAGUUAGCGUAUAUGUUUUUAUGCCGAGCAUGACUACUUGUGGAACCCGAGGGUAAAACAGUACAAACUUCGGGAUGUAAAAAGAAAGAAAGCCUUUCAGGAGCUCUGUCAGCUCCUUUUCCUCCUCAGCAGCCAUCCCCUGGUCCAUGUCCUUUUUCUUUUUUGCUGAGAUGAGAAUUAAACGAUGAUGUUUUUUUGUGAUGUAUGUGUCAGUUAUUAGUUAUAGCAUGUGUAAUUGAGGUUAGUAGCAUUUCAAGAAUGAUUUAAAGUGUUUUAUUAACAGAAUGUGGUUAUUUUGACUUCUAAAUGUUAAAAUAAUGGCAAUUUUUUUUUUUUGACCACACUAUCUAUUCAGUUUUGUUCAGGAAGUGAUACAUACUUGAGCAAAAUAAAGGCUGAAGCCAAAACAAAAAUGACAA
Neoarius graeffei (lesser salmon catfish) is the source of this 468-nucleotide long non-coding RNA. RefSeq lists it as uncharacterized. The transcript has 2 exons. The record is from RefSeq and is a predicted model, not a curated record. Lineage: Eukaryota; Metazoa; Chordata; Actinopteri; Siluriformes; Ariidae.